This 303-nucleotide ribosomal RNA is filed under the name uncultured Rhodococcus sp. RNAcentral's name for it is "bacterial SSU rRNA". It matches the Rfam family "Bacterial small subunit ribosomal RNA", at positions 1080 to 1382 of the family's 1533-position model. The record is from RNAcentral. Lineage: Bacteria; Bacillati; Actinomycetota; Actinomycetes; Mycobacteriales; Nocardiaceae.
UUAAGUCCCGCAACGAGCGCAACCCUAUCUUAUGUUGCCAGCACGUUAUGGUGGGGACUCGUAAGAGACUGCCGGGGUCAACUCGGAGGAAGGUGGGGACGACGUCAAGUCAUCAUGCCCCUUAUGUCCAGGGCUUCACACAUGCUACAAUGGCCAGUACAGAGGGCUGCGAGACCGUGAGGUGGAGCGAAUCCCUUAAAGCUGGUCUCAGUUCGGAUCGGGGUCUGCAACUCGACCCCGUGAAGUCGGAGUCGCUAGUAAUCGCAGAUCAGCAACGCUGCGGUGAAUACGUUCCCGGGCCUU